RNAcentral lists this ribosomal RNA (333 nucleotides) under Triticum aestivum (bread wheat). RNAcentral describes it as "partial small subunit ribosomal RNA". The record is from RNAcentral. Lineage: Eukaryota; Viridiplantae; Streptophyta; Magnoliopsida; Poales; Poaceae.
AUGGUCAUUGGCUACCCUCAGGUGGAGGCCCAGUCUAUUGCCGAUCGCUUGAACUGCAAGCUGGGGUCCUUCCCCACAACCUACCUGGGGAUCCCCGUUAGUGACUCGCGCCUCACCGUGGCGGACCUCCGCCCUACGGUGACCCGUAUGCAACACCGCGUCGAACCUUGGAAAGGGUGUUGGCUAUCAAAGGCGGCGCGGGUGAUCCUCAUCAACUCCUCACUUGCCAGCCUCCUCUGGUUCCUCAUGAGCUUUUACAGCCUCCAUGAAACGCUGCACACGGAAAUUGCCAAAUACCAAUCUAGGUUCUAUUGGGCUGGCGACGAUGACAAG